GACGAACGCUGGCGGCGUGCCUAACACAUGCAAGUCGAGCGGGGUGCAGCAAUGCACCCAGCGGCGAACGGGUGAGUAACGCGUGGAUAACCUACCCCUAUGCCUGGGAUAACACUUCGAAAGAGGUGCUAAUACCGGAUAAUCCAUAGCCGACAGAAGUCAGAUAUGGCAAAGGCGGUGUAAGCCGUCACAGAGGGAAGGGUCCGCGUCCCAUUAGCUAGUUGGUGAGGUAAGAGCUCACCAAGGCGACGAUGGGUAGCCGGCCUGAGAGGGUGACCGGCCACACUGGGACUGAGACACGGCCCAGACUCCUACGGGAGGCAGCAGUGGGGAAUCUUCCGCAAUGGCGAAAGUCUGACGGAGCAAACGCCGCGUGAGUGAAGAAGGUUUUCGGAUCGUAAAGCUCUGUCUUAAGGGAAGAACGGGUCAGGGUAGGAAAUGCCUUGGGCAAUGACGGUACCUUAAGAGGAAGCCCCGGCUAACUACGUGUCCAGCAGCCGACGGUAAACAUACUACG
RNAcentral lists this ribosomal RNA (517 nucleotides) under uncultured bacterium. Its description in RNAcentral is "bacterial SSU rRNA". It matches the Rfam family "Bacterial small subunit ribosomal RNA", at positions 28 to 531 of the family's 1533-position model. The record is from RNAcentral.